Molecule: ribosomal RNA, 228 nt
Filed under: Staphylococcus epidermidis
Lineage: Bacteria; Bacillati; Bacillota; Bacilli; Caryophanales; Staphylococcaceae
Description: partial 23S ribosomal RNA
Rfam family: Bacterial large subunit ribosomal RNA
Source: RNAcentral
UUGUUGGGGUUGUAGGACACUCUAUACGGAGUUACAAAAGAACAUGUUAGACGAAUCAUCUGGAAAGAUGAAUCAAAGAAGGUAAUAAUCCUGUAGUCGAAAACAUAUUCUCUCUUGAGUGGAUCCUGAGUACGACGGAGCACGUGAAAUUCCGUCGGAAUCUGGGAGGACCAUCUCCUAAGGCUAAAUACUCUCUAGUGACCGAUAGUGAACCAGUACCGUGAGGGA